This 74-nucleotide transfer RNA is filed under the name Sphaerodactylus townsendi. RNAcentral describes it as "tRNA-Ala". It matches the Rfam family "tRNA". From Rfam's summary of the family: Transfer RNA (tRNA) molecules are approximately 80 nucleotides in length. Their secondary structure includes four short double-helical elements and three loops (D, anti-codon, and T loops). Further hydrogen bonds mediate the characteristic L-shaped molecular structure. tRNAs have two regions of fundamental functional importance: the anti-codon, which is responsible for specific mRNA codon recognition, and the 3' end, to which the tRNAs corresponding amino acid is attached (by aminoacyl-tRNA synthetases). tRNAs cope with the degeneracy of the genetic code in two manners: having more than one tRNA (with a specific anti-codon) for a particular amino acid; and 'wobble' base-pairing, i.e. permitting non-standard base-pairing at the 3rd anti-codon position. Lineage: Eukaryota; Metazoa; Chordata; Lepidosauria; Squamata; Sphaerodactylidae. The record is from RNAcentral.
GGAGAGACAGUGGCUCAAUGGAAGAGCCUCUGCUUUGCUUGCAGAAAGUCCAGGUUCAAGCCCUGGCAUCUCCA